This is a non-coding RNA of Peniophora sp. CONT, 90 nucleotides long. The record is from Rfam. NCBI's taxonomy places the organism in Eukaryota, Fungi, Basidiomycota, Agaricomycetes, Russulales, Peniophoraceae.
GGGCGUGUAGCACAGUGGUAGCGCGCAUGCUUAGCACCGUAUCUGGUACAUAUAUGCAUGAGGUCUUGGGUUCAAUCCCCAACUCGUCCA